RNAcentral lists this ribosomal RNA (1440 nucleotides) under metagenome. RNAcentral describes it as "bacterial SSU rRNA". It matches the Rfam family "Archaeal small subunit ribosomal RNA". The record is from RNAcentral.
ACCCGUUGAUCCUGCGGGAGAUCGCUGCUAUUAGGUUUCCACUUAGCCAUGCAAGUCCAGGGGGCUCUUCGGAGUCACCGGCAGAAUGCUCAGUAACACGUCGAUAACCUACCCUUAUGUCUGGAAUAACCUUGGGAAACUGAGGCUAAUACCGGAUAGUGGAUUGAUGCUGGAAUGCACUUUCCAUCAAAGCUUCGGUGCGUAAGGAUGGGUCGGCGGCGGAUUAGGUUGUUGGUGAGGUAAUGGCCCACCAAGCCAGUGAUCCGUAGGGGGGAUGAGAGUCCGAGCCCCGAGAAGGGCACUGAGACAAGGGCCCUAGUCCUAAGGGAUGCAGCAGGCGGGAAACCUUUACAAUGCACGAAAGUGUGAUAAGGGGAACCUAAGUGCUUGCCUACAAGGCAGGCUUUUGUUGAGUGUAAAAACCUCGACGAAUAAGUGGUGGGUAAGACCGGUGCCAGCCGCCGCGGUAACACCGGCGCCACGAGUGGGGAUCAUGUUUAUUGGGCCUAAAGCGUUCGUAGCCGAACUGGUCAAUCUUUUGUGAAAUCGUCUGGCUUAACCAAAUGAAUGGCAAAAGAGACUGCUAGUUUAGAGAUCGGGAGGAGGCAGAAGUAUUCCUUGGGAAACGGUAAAAUGUGAUAAUCCUUGGAAGACUACCUGUGGCGAAGGCGUCUGCCUAGAACGAGUCUGACGGUGAGGAACGAAAGCUGGGGGAGCAAAACGGAUUAGAUACCCGAGUAGUCCCAGCUGUAAACACUGUGAACUAUGUGUUGCAGAUUCUCCGUGAAUCUGCAGUGCCGUAGCGAAGGCGUUAAGUUCACCGCCUGGGAAGUAUAGUCGCAAGACCGAAACUUAAAGGAAUUGGCGGGGGCGCACUACAAGGAGUGCGGCGUGCGGUUUAAUCAGAUUUUACACCGUGAACCUCACCAGGGCCGACGGCAGGAUGAAGGUCAGAUUGAAGGUCUUACCUAACAAGCCGAGAGGAGGUGCAUGGCCGCCGUCAGCUCGUGCCGCAAGGUGUCCAGUUAAGUCUGGCAACGAGCAAGACCUACAUCUGCAGUUGCCACCGAGCUCUCCGGAGCAAUCGAGCACACUGCAGAGACUGCCUGGGAAACCAGGAGGAAGGUGUAGGCUACGGUAGGUGGUAUGCCCCGAAUGCCCUGGGCUACACGCGCGCAACAAUGGUGGAGACAAUGGGAUGCUACUCCGAAAGGAGGAGCUAAGCCUCUAAACUCUAUCUUAGUACGGAUUGAGGAUUGCAACUCAUCCUCAUGACGCUGGAAUUCCUAGUAAUCGCUCGUCAUCAGCGAGCGGUGAAUACGUCCCUGUGCCUUGCACACACCGCCCGUCAAACCAUUCGAGCAGGGUUUGGGUGAGCUCUGGGAUUUAUGCCUAGAUCGAACCUGAGUUCAGUAAGAAGGGUUAAGUCGUCACAAGGUA